GAGAGAGAGAGAGAGAGAGAGAGAGAGAGAGAGAGAGAGAGACCCACACACGACCCAAAGACUGCCUCAUCACCUGACACACCACCACGACCACCCAGCCACCUAAUCUUCUUCCCUCCCUGCACCUCCCCCAGUGUGCAAGCCCUGCCAGACAGUGCACGUGUGAUUACCAGCUGUGGAAGGGGUAGGUUUGCUUCUCUCACCCCCUCACCGUGUCUGCAGUUCGUGGAAGACUUGGGCCAGUUUCGCAGUGUCCUAUUUGUUCGUGAGCUUACUAACAUGAGAAACAUUUGGGUUGGAUAGCUGACAAAAGAACUGAAAUUGGCUCUAUUGCCUUAAUAGUUCUUGUUUUUUUGUACGCUCCCAAACGAAAUGCAACGGCCAGAGUUGAUUGUGGGAUCUGAUCACGACUGAGGUACUUUUGCAGUUUAUCUUACAAACGAAAACGGUUGACUGUCGACCUGGCCCCAAACUCCCCUGUCAGCUGUGAGGUGAGGUUCACUGAGUCGGAGGAAAUUGCAGCAUGACCUCUACUUCUUCCUCCCUGCCAGGUGAGUGUGUGGGUUUAAGUUUGAAUUCAAAUAUAAGUUCAUGCAUUCAUUACCGUCAAGAGAGAACAGAUAACAAAAGAUUAAUUGUUUGCAGGAUGUUCUCGGCUCUCCUGCCCUCAAGUAACCUUCCCUUCUCUCUGCCAAAUUUAUAACCAGUGUGAAGCCGUAAGGGGCACCAUCUUUCUCUACCAGACACAAGAGGAGGAGGAAGAGUGACCGCCAUGUUUAUACGAGGUAAACAAGGAGCUCAGAAAGUUUCCCUCUAUUGUGACUUUACCUGACCUACCAUGCCGUGACCUUGAGGAUGACCUUGACCUGGGACGCACUGUGGGAGGAGGAAGGAGGUAGAGGAGGCGAAAAUAUAUGCAGCCUUGUUUGGUGCAUACAAGCCAAAGUAGUGGUACAUAAGAGCCAGUACAUAGCAGCCCAACAAUGCUACAUAUAAGCCAAACAAGUGGUACGUAGGACCCGGUACAUAGCAGCCGACGGGGAGAGGUGUGAGAGUGACCAGGUGUGUGUUCAGGUGUGCCAGCCUUGUCUUGUCCCCAUCAGGUAUGCAGUACACAGGUAUGCAGUACACACAGAUGAGUCAUGCGCUGCACAGGUGAGGGCCAGGGAGCUGCAGGUGUGGCAGUGAAUGUUUUAGCAUGUCAUGUGUAUUUUCUGCUUGUCUGGUCUGUUUGCCUUGUGUUGAUUUCUUUUGAGUGAAUAAAUCAAACUGCAUUCAUAUCCAUUUUUAAUAUACACAGGGAAAGAACACUGUUCACUUCUUUUACAGGGGAGGAGCUGAGAACAAAAACAAAUUCAAGAAAAUAAAAUUAUAUUCUCAUCACAUUAGACAAGACUCCACUUGGGCAGCUUCAAACUUGGAUUCUUUGUCCCUGACUCUUUGAAGAGGUCAGAGUCCGAGAGUCCAUGAAGAGAGAUCCAUCCCUUUUGUACCUGACUCUUUGAAGAGGUCAGUCAGAGUUUGUCCCUGACUUAUUGAAGAGAGAGCCCAAGAGUCAGGGAGGAGGGAGAGGACACACCAGUCAAUGGGUUGCAACAAGAAAGAACACACCUGAAAUAUGACUGGGUUGCAACAAGAACACACCUGAAGUAGAGUCCUUCACGUCCACAGCAGCAGCAGCAGCAGGGCAGGUGUGUUGCUUAGACUACAAGUGAGGGGGGCGGCAGCAGCAGCACCCACCACCACCACACCUGCAAGAUAUCCAAGCCAGCACAGCCCCAACACACCUGUACAAACUUGAAUAUAGAUAAAUUUAAACUUUUCUUCUAAACUUGAACAAACUGUCAAAUAAAUCAUAUCUGUGUUUACCUUCCAUGCUUGGUCUCAUUCUCUGCCUUUCAGUCACAAGUUAUUGACAAGGUGUACGGUGGUUUUCUUAAUGCAUUUCUCUUGACUGUCUAUAUAUCUUUAGUGAAUAUGCCGACCUGUGUAGGCUUCAGAUAGCUUCAUUAAUAGCUUCCUCAUUUCUUUAAAUCAAUCUCUUUCUUAUCCUCUAAUAAUUCAUCUCAAAGAUCUUUAUUUCCCAAUCCAUUAAAUAUUUCAAUUUCAUCAAAGUCUACUUCCCUAUAUCAUCUUUCAGUUGGUAGACUAAGAAAUUAAAUUAUCUUUUAUAUCUUGCCUAUCUCUCAUUGUUUCUACUCUCAUUGUUUCUAUUUUUUUCUAUCUUAUUUUGUUACCUUUAUUUUUUAUCUUCAAUCAUUACCUUCCAUUUUUUUCAUCACCUUCCAUCAUUUCUCUUUCAUCACCUUCCAUCAUUUUCCUCUUUCAUUACUGUACAUAAUUUUCCUCUUUCAUCACCUUCCAUCAUAUUUCUCUUCCAUCAGUCCUGCAUUCCCUCUGCUAACUGACUGCUCUUCACACAGGCAGCACCAAACACCAAGAACUGCACCCUGGAGUCAAGAAACCUUCAUUACUUCCCAGCUCAGAUGCAAACCCUGAACACAACACUGCCACACCCAGCCACUGCCCUCCAGCUCUGCCUCACUGUGUCAUACCGUCCCCCCCAAAUAUUUUUAUCAAUGUGCUUAUAAUUUUUACAGGAGUUCGGUGGCCAUGCUUGUAAUGUUUCUCAAUUUUUGUUAAGUUUGAUUUAAGUUGGAUUUAUUCUGGUCAAAAUUUUCAGAUUUAAGAAAUACGAAUAAGAUU
This is a long non-coding RNA of Scylla paramamosain (green mud crab), 2706 nucleotides long. RefSeq lists it as uncharacterized. NCBI's taxonomy places the organism in Eukaryota, Metazoa, Arthropoda, Malacostraca, Decapoda, Portunidae. The record is from RefSeq and is a predicted model, not a curated record. The transcript has 6 exons.